RNAcentral lists this non-coding RNA (29 nucleotides) under Mus musculus (house mouse). Lineage: Eukaryota; Metazoa; Chordata; Mammalia; Rodentia; Muridae. The record is from RNAcentral.
UGGUGAUGGUAUUACCCUGCUUGCAAGUC